Molecule: unclassified non-coding RNA, 1308 nt
Filed under: Leishmania donovani
Lineage: Eukaryota; Euglenozoa; Kinetoplastea; Trypanosomatida; Trypanosomatidae
Description: gene:LdHU3.36.5380(CDS-product:hypothetical_prote in_conserved)
Source: RNAcentral
CGUGUGCAGGUCUUCUCCCUGCGCACUCGCCUCUACAUGCUCUCUACCCAGCAAGAGCACACACACACACGCUCACGUACAGAGACGUAGAUGCACGCGCCUGCGCUUAGGGAUUUGCUCUUAUCAUCGCUGUGCCUUCCGCUUUCUCUGCUCACCCUCUUCCCACGACUCUCAAGAAAUGCCGGCGAAGGCGCCGUCACAAAAUCGAGGUCUUUCUCCGCCUUCCCCAUCGCCCGCCGCCCUUCACCAACUGCGCUGCGAGAACGCGAUGCUGAAAAAGGAGAAGCAGUUCCUGACGCAAGCGGUGGCAUCGGGGCCGUCCACCUCGGCCCGCGUCAACAGCGUUCGCUACAACGCUGAUGCAGUGGAGGCGAAGCUGAUGAUGGCCUACCGGAUGGCGUCCGAGAUGCACGACGCGGAGGGCUGCAAGACCGUCGAGUUGCAAAUGCAGCAACGCGUUGCCGAAAUGCUAGCAAAGGUGGACAAGCUGCGCCAGCUGCUGGAGAUGGUUCAGAAGGAUGUGGAGGAAGUGCUGGAGGCCAGUGGUGGCUGGGACAGGCAGGCUGCCGCAUAGCGAGUCAUGCGCUGUCGUCGUGUGCUGUUGCAGGGCUGCACAGGGCGUGAGAGAGAGAGCGAUGAACAGCGGAAAUUGCCCUUGGGAAAGCAGAAGAGACGAUCUCAGUAGUGUGUCUUGUGUUAGUGCUCGAUUUGUGUAAGCCGUAGAAGCCGCCCCGCACGCGCGCGCCUGUCUGCGAGCCCUCACACCCUUCCUCCCCUCCGCGAUGACCCUAUCUCGAUUGGCAUUUCUCUGGUGUGUUUCUCUCGUGUACACUAUCAAGUUCCCUUUGCUGUUUUGUUUCGUGAUUCCCAGCGGACUUCAGCGGACUGCAAUGGCGGGCUCUGAAAGAAAAGGCGGAGGCGAGAAGCGCAGCACGAGAAGAAUAGAAACGUUUCGCAUGAGAAUCCACGUCCUCUUUCUCAGCCAUCUCUGAAAGAGGUGGCAAACACAAGAGAGGAUAGCGGGAUUUACUAUCUCUGCGCCCGUUGCAUCACCGGGCGCUUUCCCGCGAAUGGAACCGAUCUUUCAUGCAUGAACAGUCCCCUCCUGUGUAACUCUCUCUCAUCCUUUACUCCCCAUUCACAUGCAUACUUUCACUUUUCCCGUUCGCUCCCGUUUUUUUGUUAUGUGGUGUUUCACCAUGGCUUGUAAACCGGCCCACGUGACUCUCUCAUUCACUCCUUUCUUCCAACCUUUCUUACACCAUUGUCUUUUGCUCUGCACCUCAUGCGCUCCCUUUCACUGCGCAG